This 630-nucleotide long non-coding RNA is filed under the name Mytilus galloprovincialis (Mediterranean mussel). The record is from RNAcentral. Lineage: Eukaryota; Metazoa; Mollusca; Bivalvia; Mytilida; Mytilidae.
AAAAAAGGCAUUUUUUUUUAAAUUUUUUUUUUAUUUAAUAUCUAAAGAGAUAUAAAAGCUUCAGGCCAAAUGCAAUGGUAUAUUUAUAUUUCAAACUGAAAGGGGACAUAGUUGGUUAAAUUAUUUGAUCAGGACUUAUUUUCGCGAGGUUCAAAGACAUUGCUGAUGAUAUAAAUUUCACAAAAAUCUGGCAACACAUGACGGACGACCGGCAUUUCUGUCCCCUGCAACGCGUUAAGACAAGUAAUAAAAAAAAUCCCAUGUGGAGGCUCAAAUUCCGGCGAAGGGGGGUACUAUAUUUCGAAAUUCCAUAUACAAAAAGGCCGUUGUAAUGGGUCCAUUUUGAGAUUUCGUAUUUCAAUUGGAUGUGAAACUUUAACAUCACAUAUUACUGUUUCUAAUGAUGGUAGUUACGAGAAAACAACAAAAUUCUGUUAGAAACUUAUAUAUUGAUGGGUAUUUUGAAAUUAAACAAAAAUCUAGCCAUGGUCGGAUUGUAGGGGGAGUACACAUGUAUACAGGAAAAACGUCUGGAAAAAAGUGCAUAAAAGGUUCUUAAAAUAUUUUCGCCUCGCUCCGCUCGGCGAACAGUUUCGCAUACACAUCAUUUUAACCCUGGCUACGCCACUG